AGCAAUUUUCCUUUUCAGGCUCAAGCAACUAUCCUGGAUUACAUGCACCAACAUGAAUUAUUAAAACAAUUUGCGACUGGGGAGUUGGUGUGGUACCUGGCUUCUGCUUGGCUUCUUAUGCCAGUGUAUGUUUUAUACAUACUUGUAACAGAAAUCUUCUGCACCCGCAAGCAGAAGAAAUCCCCACGAAGUGAAAAGGCCAACCAUGGCCAUCGGAGACACAAGCGCCGUCAUGCUGAGAAAUAGAGACCAUGGACAAACACUUUGUGUUAGAUAGUGGCCUGCUACAGUGUAGUUG
Long non-coding RNA from Lolium rigidum, 298 nucleotides. RefSeq lists it as uncharacterized. Lineage: Eukaryota; Viridiplantae; Streptophyta; Magnoliopsida; Poales; Poaceae. The record is from RefSeq and is a predicted model, not a curated record. The transcript has 3 exons.